AUAACGGUCCUAAGGUAGCGAAAUUCCUUGUCGGGUAAGUUCCGACCUGCACGAAUGGCGUAACGACUUCCCCACUGUCUCGACCAGGAGCUCGGCGAAAUUGCAGUACGAGUAAAGAUGCUCGUUAAGCGCAGAAGGACGAAAAGACCCCGGGACCUUUACUAUACCUUGGUAUUGGCAUUAGGCGCGGAUUGUGUAGCAUAGGCGGGAGGCUUCGAAGCGGGUGCGCCAGCAUUCGUGGAGCCGCAAGGUGAAAUACCGCUCUGUUCUCGUUUGAUGUCUAACCUCGAACAGUCAUCCUGUUCAGGGACAGUGCCUGGCGGGUAGUUCAACUGGGGCGGUUGCCUCCCAAAGAGUAACGGAGGCGCUCAAAGGUCCGCUCGGCCCGGUUGGCAAUCGGGUGUCGAGUGUAAUCGCACAAGCGGGCUUGACUGCGAGAUCGACGGAUCGAGCAGGGACGAAAGUCGGAGAUAGUGAUCCGGUGCCGGCGCACGGGCGCGGCAUCGCUCAACGGAUAAAAGGUACCCCGGGGAUAACAGGCUGAUCAUUCCCAAGAGUCCAUAUCGACGGGAUGGUUUGGCACCUCGAUGUCGGCUCGUCGCAUCCUGGGGCUGGAGCAGGUCCCAAGGGUUCGGCUGUUCGCCGAUUAAAGCGGCACGCGAGCUGGGUUCAGAACGUCGUGAGACAGUUUGGUCUCUAUCCUCUGCGCUCGUUGGAAUGCUGAGGAGGCCUGCCCAUAGUACGAGAGGACCUGGGUGGACGAACCUCUGGUAUGCCGGUUGUCACGCCAGUGGCACGGCCGGUUGGCUACGUUCGGAAGGGAUAACCGCUGAAAGCAUCUAAGCGGGAAGCCUUCUCCAAGAUAAGGAUUCCAUGCGGCCCCGAGCCGCUGAAGACCCCAUGCAGAACACGUGGUUGAUAGGCCGGACGUGGAAGCCCCGCGAGGGGUGGAGCCGACCGGUACUAACGGACGAAAGGCAACACUAA
This 987-nucleotide ribosomal RNA is filed under the name human gut metagenome. RNAcentral's name for it is "bacterial LSU rRNA". It matches the Rfam family "Bacterial large subunit ribosomal RNA", at positions 1942 to 2925 of the family's 2925-position model. The record is from RNAcentral.